RNAcentral lists this unclassified non-coding RNA (279 nucleotides) under plant metagenome. RNAcentral describes it as "partial contains small subunit ribosomal RNA, internal transcribed spacer 1, and 5.8S ribosomal RNA". The record is from RNAcentral.
UUUCCGUAGGUGAACCUGCGGAAGGAUCAUUAACGAGUUUUGACAUGACUUCUAUCUGUCCUUCCGCUGCAUGUCCACGCCCUGCUCAUCCACUCUACACCUGUGCACUUACUUUGGGAUAUCCGGUGCGUCGCUGUGCGGCGGCGUCCCUCUGCCCACGAUUUCUUUACAAACUAUUUAUGUAACAGAAUGUUGAUUUAUCUAACGCUUCUAUAAUACAACUUUCAGCAACGGCACUCCUGGCGCUCGCAGCGAUGAAGAACGCCACAGGUCUGAACA